Molecule: ribosomal RNA, 529 nt
Filed under: uncultured Actinomycetes bacterium
Lineage: Bacteria; Bacillati; Actinomycetota; Actinomycetes
Description: bacterial SSU rRNA
Rfam family: Bacterial small subunit ribosomal RNA
Source: RNAcentral
GGCCAACGGGUGAGGAUCACGUGAAAAACGUGGCCCAGACUCUGGGAUAACAAUUGGAAACGAUUGCUAAUACCGGAUGACGUCGGAGAAUCGCAUGAUUCACUGACGAAAGAUAUUUCGGUUUGGGAGCGUCUCGCGGCCUAUCAGCUUGUUGGUGGGGUAAUGGCCUACCAACGGCAACGACGGGUAGACUGGUCUGAUAGGAUGAUAGCCACACUGGGACUGAUGACGGCCCAGACUCCUACGGGAGGCAGCAGUGGGGAAUCUUGCGCAAUGGGCGAAAGCCUGACGCAGCAACGCCGCGUGCGGGAUGAAGGCCUUCGGGCUGUAAACCGCUUUCUGCAGGAACGAAAAUGACGGUACCUGCAGAAGAAGGAGCGGCCAACUACGUGCCAGCAGCCGCGGUGACACGUAGGCUCCAAGCGUUGUCCGGAUUUAUUGGGCGUAUAGAGCUCGUAGGCGGUUGACUAAGUCGGGUGUGAAAACUCUGGGCUUAACCCGGAGACUCCAUCCGAUACUGCUCUGACUA